UAGCAGGAACUGUCCACCACAGUGGUGAC
Molecule: non-coding RNA, 29 nt
Filed under: Homo sapiens (human)
Lineage: Eukaryota; Metazoa; Chordata; Mammalia; Primates; Hominidae
Source: RNAcentral